RNAcentral lists this ribosomal RNA (458 nucleotides) under uncultured bacterium. RNAcentral describes it as "partial 16S ribosomal RNA". It matches the Rfam family "Bacterial small subunit ribosomal RNA", at positions 338 to 795 of the family's 1533-position model. The record is from RNAcentral.
CCUACGGGGGGCAGCAGUGAGGAAUAUUGGUCAAUGGGCGAGAGCCUGAACCAGCCAAGUCGCGUGAGGGAGUACUGCCCUAUGGGUUGUAAACCUCUUUUGUCGGGGAGCAAAAGUCGGACGUGUCCGGCUGUGAGAGUACCCGAAGAAAAAGCAUCGGCUAACUCCGUGCCAGCAGCCGCGGUAAUACGGAGGAUGCGAGCGUUAUCCGGAUUUAUGGGGUUUAAAGGGUGCGCAGGCGGAUUUUUAAGUCAGCGGUCAACUCGUGGGGCUCAACCCGAUCCAGCCGUUGAAACUGGGGAUCUAGAGUGUGCGAGAGGUAUGCGGAAUGCGUGGUGUAGCGGUGAAAUGCAUAGAUAUCACGCAGAAACCCGAUUGCGAAGGCAGCAUACCGGUGAACAACUGACGCUCAGGCACGAAAGCGUGGGUAUCGAACAGGAUUAGAUACCCGAGUAGUC